GCAAUGGAACAUCUGAGUUUUGUGUAACUGAUGUGAAAGCUGCUGAUUUAGAAUACUGCAGCAAUAAGACUAGAUAUUGCUUUAAAGGAGAAUGCAGAGAUAGGGACAGACAGUGCGCACAGUUAUUUGGAAAAUUUUCUAAGUCUGCUAGUGUUCUGUGUACAGAAAAAGUGAAUUUUCUAAAUGACAAAUUUGGAAACUGUGGUUCCCGUUGUCAUUUUUAUGAUAUUCUUUGUGGAAAGAUUGUCACUGGACACAUUCAGAAACAGUAUCAAUGACAGACUUUGAUAUACAAUAUACUUACCUUGGGGGUCAUGUAUGUUUGUCUGCACAUGCAAGAAAUGGUUCAAAAUAAUGGGGGACCUAUGCAGAAGCUACAAGUGCAUGUGGUCAACACAGGUUAUGUAGAUUCCAAGGAUGCAAAUAUCUUAGUGACAUAAAUAUAACAAGAUAUAACAUAAAUUGCAGAGAGAAUAGGGCUUGCAAUGAACUUUUCCAUUGUCAGUGUGAUCCUGGUUAUGCUCCUCCAGAUUGUGAGCCGCCAAUAUCAUCACCAGGAGGAAGUGUUAAUGAUGGAUUUUAGCUUACGGUAGAAAAAAGUGUACCUUGUUUCCAAAACGACGUGCUGCUCCUAAAAACAAUGGUCUUUUGAUCAGUUUCUACAUUUCUUUUUUACCUUUGCUCAUUUUAAUUGCUAUUGUUAGUCUUAAAUGGAAUAAAAUGAAGAGAUUUUGGAGCAAAGCGGGAACAGUAAGCAGCAUAUCUAUCUCAGAAGACAGCAGCAGGAACAACAACGAGUCACAGAGUUAAAGUAGCCCAAGUGAUAACUUCGAAGCCAUAGGGUGGAGAAAGGAUAUUACCAAGAAACUCACCAUUAACUGGCCUGAUCUAACAAUGAAAAAAAAAAAGUUUUCUCUCAUUUUGUUAUGGCUUAAAGCUU
Molecule: RNA transcript, 940 nt
Organism: Homo sapiens (human)
Lineage: Eukaryota; Metazoa; Chordata; Mammalia; Primates; Hominidae
Gene: ADAM3B
Gene name: ADAM metallopeptidase domain 3B (pseudogene)
Exons: 1
Source: RefSeq, marked validated